This 516-nucleotide long non-coding RNA is filed under the name Mustela putorius furo (domestic ferret). RNAcentral's name for it is "lncRNA (ENSMPUG00000028450.1)". The record is from RNAcentral. Lineage: Eukaryota; Metazoa; Chordata; Mammalia; Carnivora; Mustelidae.
GCUGAAGCAGAGGGAAUGAGGAGAGAAGGAGGAGAUGGAUUCUCGAGGAGUCACACUGGUCAGCAAUGGCCAGAGAAGAAAGGGCUCUGCGGCUCUGGGAGACAGUGUGAAACUUCAACGGUGUGCUGUAAAGAAAUUCAGCUCUAGACUCUGUGAGAGAAUGGAGAAAUGUGAACCCAAACCCAAAAAUGAAAGCACAGAAGAAAGCCCCAACCUCACAUGGGAAUGGGUCCAGCCUGGGAGGCACUGUCUCCCCUGUGAAGCAACAGUAUCACAAGACUGUCAUAUUAUUUUUUACAUUAAUAAUUCUAGAAUUAAAAUAAAUUUCAUGUUCGGGGGCACCUGGGUGGCUCAGUCAUUAAGUUUCUGCCUUCAGCUCAGGUCAUGAUCCCAGGGUCCUGGGAUGGAGCCCUGCGUUAGGCUCCCUGCUCAGCAGGGAGCCUGCCUUUCCCUCUCCCACUCCCUGCCCGCCCCCCGGCCCCCGCUUGUGUUCCCUCUCUCACUGUGUCUGUCAAA